AGUGAACGCUGGCGGUGGGCCUAACACAUGCAAGUCGAACGGCAGCACAGUAAGAGCUUGCUCUUACGGGUGGCGAGUGGCGGACGGGUGAGGAAUACAUCGGAAUCUACUUUUUCGUGGGGGAUAACGUAGGGAAACUUACGCUAAUACCGCAUACGACCUACGGGUGAAAGCAGGGGAGCUUCGGACUUUGCGCGAUUGAAUGAGCCGAUGUCGGAUUAGCUAGUUGGCGGGGUAAAGGCCCACCAAGGCGACGAUCCGUAGCUGGUCUGAGAGGAUGAUCAGCCACACUGGAACUGAGACACGGUCCAGACUCCUACGGGAGGCAGCAGUGGGGAAUAUUGGACAAUGGGCGCAAGCCUGAUCCAGCCAUACCGCGUGGGUGAAGAAGGCCUUCGGGUUGUAAAGCCCUUUUGUUGGGAAAGAAAAGCAGCAGGUUAAUACCCCGCUGUUCUGACGGUACCCAAAGAAUAAGCACCGGCUAACUUCGUG
This 492-nucleotide ribosomal RNA is filed under the name uncultured bacterium. RNAcentral describes it as "partial 16S ribosomal RNA". It matches the Rfam family "Bacterial small subunit ribosomal RNA", at positions 29 to 507 of the family's 1533-position model. The record is from RNAcentral.